CCUACGGGCGGCUGCAGUGGGGAAUAUUGGACAAUGGGGGGAACCCUGAUCCAGCCAUGCCGCGUGUGUGAAGAAGGCCCUCGGGUUGUAAAGCACUUUCAGUGAGGAAGAACGCCUGGUGGUUAAUACCCAUCAGGAAAGACAUCACUCACAGAAGAAGCACCGGCUAACUCCGUGCCAGCAGCCGCGGUAAUACGGAGGGUGCGAGCGUUAAUCGGAAUUACUGGGCGUAAAGCGCGCGUAGGUGGCUUGAUAAGCCGGUUGUGAAAGCCCCGGGCUCAACUUGGGAACGGCAUCCGGAACUGUCAAGCUAGAGUGCAGGAGAGGAAGGUAGAAUUCCCGGUGUAGCGGUGAAAUGCGUAGAGAUCGGGAGGAAUACCAGUGGCGAAGGCGGCCUUCUGGACUGACACUGACACUGAGGUGCGAAAGCGUGGGUAGCAAACAGGAUUAGAUACCCUGGUAGUC
This 465-nucleotide ribosomal RNA is filed under the name Vreelandella stevensii. Its description in RNAcentral is "partial 16S ribosomal RNA". It matches the Rfam family "Bacterial small subunit ribosomal RNA", at positions 338 to 795 of the family's 1533-position model. The record is from RNAcentral. Lineage: Bacteria; Pseudomonadati; Pseudomonadota; Gammaproteobacteria; Oceanospirillales; Halomonadaceae.